UCAAAACGACUCUCGGCAACGGAUAUCUCGGCUCUCGCAUCGAUGAAGAACGUAGCGAAAUGCGAUACUUGGUGUGAAUUGCAGAAUCCCGUGAACCAUCGAGUCUUUGAACGCAAGUUGCGCCCGACGCCUUCGGGCUGAGGGUACGCCUGCCUGGGCGUCA
Molecule: ribosomal RNA, 163 nt
Filed under: Plantago maxima
Lineage: Eukaryota; Viridiplantae; Streptophyta; Magnoliopsida; Lamiales; Plantaginaceae
Description: 5.8S ribosomal RNA
Rfam family: 5.8S ribosomal RNA
About the family: 5.8S ribosomal RNA (5.8S rRNA) is a component of the large subunit of the eukaryotic ribosome. It is transcribed by RNA polymerase I as part of the 45S precursor that also contains 18S and 28S rRNA. Functionally, it is thought that 5.8S rRNA may be involved in ribosome translocation.
Source: RNAcentral